GCUCACCGAAAGGUGCAGUGCAGCACCAGGCUAAUAACCUUGGGUGUGGUAAUAGUAUAUGGAAUAGGGAGAAUCUGCAGCCAAGCCCCUUUGGGGGUGCAGUUCACAGGCCAAAUGGUAGUGGGCACAAUUGUGCUUAAGAUAUGGUCGAAUCCCAAUUGAAAAGUUGGGUACAAGUACUCUUAUAGGGUCUAUCUUAGGCUCUCCGAUGCCAUUGCUUGCUUUGUAAUGCAAAUGUUCCGUAGGUGAACCUGCGGAAGGAUCAUUA
This 268-nucleotide ribosomal RNA is filed under the name uncultured fungus. RNAcentral describes it as "partial 18S ribosomal RNA". The stretch from base 1 to 171 matches the Rfam family "Group I catalytic intron", at positions 75 to 251 of the family's 253-position model. From Rfam's summary of the family: Group I catalytic introns are large self-splicing ribozymes. They catalyse their own excision from mRNA, tRNA and rRNA precursors in a wide range of organisms. The core secondary structure consists of 9 paired regions (P1-P9). The record is from RNAcentral. Lineage: Eukaryota; Fungi.